Molecule: unclassified non-coding RNA, 349 nt
Filed under: fungal sp.
Lineage: Eukaryota; Fungi
Description: partial internal transcribed spacer region
Rfam family: Eukaryotic small subunit ribosomal RNA (bases 1-46)
Source: RNAcentral
AAGUCGUAACAAGGUUUCCGUAGGUGAACCUGCGGAAGGAUCAUUAUCACGUAUCCAAACGUAUAAACCCAAUGUGCACCUCAAAUUCCUCCUAGAAGUACUAGUGGCAGAGAAGUUGAUAUUCUGAUUCAUGGUCUUUCAGAAUUCUCUGUCGUGAUCUAAAACUUUAUUGUUUUAGUUCAGCCUUCUACUCCGGGAGUCGUAUCAAACCAUGCUUGUUUUACUAAACAACUUGUACCUUUCUGAACUAACUUUGGUUGGAAAAAACAAUAUCUUCGGAUGUUUGUUUUUGAUAACCUUGAUUUAUAUAAACUCUGAACUACUCUUAACAACGGAUAUCUUGGUUCUC